AAUUUUCAGAAAUUUCCUCCCAAACACAACCAGAAAUUAAUCUCGAUAGGUCUGGAAUAAGGUUAGGGUUAGGGAACGAAAUUGAGUGGUGCAACUUCGAAUCAUUCUGCAAAUCUCGUCGUAACAGAUCCGGUCGUCACAUAGUAUCCAAAUUCUGGUGCGUCUGCCUAUAUCACUAAUUCUGGUAAUACUUUAUUUUCUUC
RNAcentral lists this long non-coding RNA (203 nucleotides) under Zostera marina. RNAcentral describes it as "long non-coding RNA (ZMAR_LNC000458)". Lineage: Eukaryota; Viridiplantae; Streptophyta; Magnoliopsida; Alismatales; Zosteraceae. The record is from RNAcentral.